This 222-nucleotide ribosomal RNA is filed under the name uncultured eukaryote. Its description in RNAcentral is "partial small subunit ribosomal RNA". It matches the Rfam family "Eukaryotic small subunit ribosomal RNA", at positions 587 to 817 of the family's 1831-position model. The record is from RNAcentral.
AGCUCCAAUAGCGUAUAUUAAAGUUGUUGCAGUUAAAAAGCUCGUAGUUGGAUUUCUGGGAGGGUGACAAUGUCCGUCGUCUGAUGAGUGCAGCGGCGCCCUUCCAUCCUUCUGUUAACGCCUCUCCGCAUUCGUUUGCUGGUGGCGGGCUCAGAUAUUUUACCUUGAGAAAAUUAGAGUGUUUCAAGCAGGCUAUGCACGGAAUACAUUAGCAUGGAAUAA